GGACUCGUGGUGUAAUUGGUUAACACGUUCGCCUCAUAAGCGAAAUGAUGCAGGUUCGAGUCCUGCCGAGUCCA
RNAcentral lists this transfer RNA (74 nucleotides) under Geobacillus sp. YHL. Its description in RNAcentral is "tRNA-Met". It matches the Rfam family "tRNA". From Rfam's summary of the family: Transfer RNA (tRNA) molecules are approximately 80 nucleotides in length. Their secondary structure includes four short double-helical elements and three loops (D, anti-codon, and T loops). Lineage: Bacteria; Bacillati; Bacillota; Bacilli; Caryophanales; Anoxybacillaceae. The record is from RNAcentral.